UCCCUGUUGGCUCAGCUGGUAAAGAAUCUGCCUGCAAUGCAGAAGACCUGGGUUUGAUCCCUGGGCUGGGAA
This 72-nucleotide transfer RNA is filed under the name Bos taurus (domestic cattle). It matches the Rfam family "tRNA". Rfam says of the family: Transfer RNA (tRNA) molecules are approximately 80 nucleotides in length. RNAcentral also lists the same sequence under 5 other names. The record is from Rfam by way of RNAcentral. Lineage: Eukaryota; Metazoa; Chordata; Mammalia; Artiodactyla; Bovidae.